This 416-nucleotide long non-coding RNA is filed under the name Gossypium barbadense (sea-island cotton). RNAcentral describes it as "long non-coding RNA (GBAR_LNC003948)". Lineage: Eukaryota; Viridiplantae; Streptophyta; Magnoliopsida; Malvales; Malvaceae. The record is from RNAcentral.
CUCUUUCCUCCUUGAUAUGCUUGGCGGGUACUAUCCAGAGUUUGGCUAUUGCCCUGGUUGUAGAACAUCGCCCUAGUGGAUGGGCAGUGGGAUGGAACUCUAGGCUUUUUGCUCCAUUGUACUCUGUAAGUACCAAAAGUACGAAAUAAAUUAAGCAUAUCCGUAUUGAACAUAUUGUUCCUAAACUAUCUAAGUACCUUUAGCAUCAAGUAUAUCAUUAUGGUUAAUCAAAUUAUAAAUACAUGCUAAUUACUACCAAUUAUUGGUUUUUAUGAAGGGUAUAGUUAGCUCUGGAAUUACAUAUUACGUACAAGGUAUGGUCAUGAAAACAAGAGGCCCUGUAUUUGUCACUGCUUUCAACCCUCUCUGCAUGAUCAUUGUUGCUGCUCUCGGUUCCGCCAUCCUCGGCGAGCAAC